Molecule: ribosomal RNA, 550 nt
Filed under: uncultured bacterium
Lineage: Bacteria
Description: bacterial SSU rRNA
Rfam family: Bacterial small subunit ribosomal RNA
Source: RNAcentral
UAGGGAAUCUUCCACAAUGGACGUAAGUCUGAUGGAGCAACGCCGCGUGAGUGAAGAAGGGUUUCGGCUCGUAAAGCUCUGUUGGUAGUGAAGAAAGAUAGAGGUAGUAACUGGCCUUUAUUUGACGGUAAUUACUUAGAAAGUCACGGCUAACUACGUGCCAGCAGCCGCGGUAAUACGUAGGUGGCAAGCGUUGUCCGGAUUUAUUGGGCGUAAAGCGAGUGCAGGCGGUUCAAUAAGUCUGAUGUGAAAGCCUUCGGCUCAACCGGAGAAUUGCAUCAGAAACUGUUGAACUUGAGUGCAGAAGAGGAGAGUGGAACUCCAUGUGUAGCGGUGGAAUGCGUAGAUAUAUGGAAGAACACCAGUGGCGAAGGCGGCCCUCUGGUCUGCAACUGACGCUGAGGCUCGAAAGCAUGGGUAGCGAACAGGAUUAGAUACCCUGGUAGUCCAUGCCGUAAACGAUGAGUGCUAAGUGUUGGGAGGUUUCCGCCUCUCAGUGCUGCAGCUAACGCAUUAAGCACUCCGCCUGGGGAGUACGACCGCAAGGUUG